CAAACAUGAACGUUGGAGUUGCCCACAGUGAAGUGAAUCCAAAUACCCGUGUCAUGAACAGCCGGGGUAUGUGGCUGACAUAUGCAUUGGGAGUUGGCUUGCUUCAUAUUGUCUUACUCAGCAUUCCCUUCUUCAGUGUUCCUGUUGCUUGGACUUUAACAAAUAUUAUACAUAAUCUGGGGAUGUACGUAUUUUUGCAUGCAGUGAAAGGAACACCUUUCGAAACUCCUGACCAGGGUAAAGCAAGGCUCCUAACUCAUUGGGAACAACUGGACUAUGGAGUACAGUUUACAUCUUCACGGAAGUUUUUCACAAUUUCUCCAAUAAUUCUGUAAUUUCUAUACGAAGUAUGAUCCAACUCACUUCAUCCUAAACACAGCUUCUCUCCUGAGUGUACUAAUUCCCAAAAUGCCACAACUACAUGGUGUUCGGAUCUUUGGAAUUAAUAAGUAUUGAAAUGUUUUGAAACUGAAAAAAAAUUUUACAGCUACUGAAUUUCUUAUAAGGAAGGAGUGGUUAGUAAACUGCACUGUUUCUGUGAUAAUGUGAAAUGAGAAGUAUUUACAUUGGAGGGCCAAUGGCUGGUCCUUCAAGUGCUGUUUUGAAGUGCAGAUUUCCAUUAAAUGAUGCCUCUGUUUAAUACACCUGGUACAUUUCUGAAGAGGGGCUUUAUAAGCAGGCUGGGCAGGCCCAGCUUAUAAGUUAAAGGGCAUCACAGUGAGGGUGUAGUAGAUAAAUUCAAGGAAAUAAGAGAUUUGUAAGAAACUAGGACCAGCUUAACUUAUAAUGAAUGGGCAUUGUGUUAAGAAAAGAACAUUUCCAGUCAUUCAGCUGUGGUUAUUUAAAGCAGACUUACAUGUAAACCGGAAUCCUCUCUAUACAAGUUUAUUAAAGAUUAUUUUUAUUACCG
RNAcentral lists this long non-coding RNA (910 nucleotides) under Homo sapiens (human). RNAcentral describes it as "long non-coding RNA NONHSAT186072.1". Lineage: Eukaryota; Metazoa; Chordata; Mammalia; Primates; Hominidae. The record is from RNAcentral.